AUGGGCUCCUGGACCCUCUGCUGUGUGUCCCUUUGUAUCCUGGUAGCAAAGCACACAGAUUCUGGAGUUAUGCAGUCACCCCGGCAUGAGGUGACAGAGAUGGGACAAGAAGUGAUUCUGAGAUGUAAACCAAUUUCAGGACACGACUACCUUUUCUGGUACAGACAGAUCAUGAUGCAGGGACUGGAGUUGCUGAUUUACUUUAACAACAAGGCUGUGAUGGAUGAUUCAGGGAUGCCCAAGGAUCGAUUCUCAGCUAAGAUGCCUAAUGCAUCAUUCUCCACUCUGAAGAUCCAGCCCUCAGAACCCAGGGACUCAGCUGUGUACUUCUGCGCCAGCAGUUUAGCCACAGCGCUGCAGAACCACCCCUUUCCUGUGCAGAAACCCUGGUGUUUCCCCUUCUCCUUCUAUCUCCCAGCAGUCCUGGGCAAAGUCUUUCCUCCCUCCCCAUGA
Molecule: non-coding RNA, 453 nt
Organism: Symphalangus syndactylus (siamang)
Lineage: Eukaryota; Metazoa; Chordata; Mammalia; Primates; Hylobatidae
Source: the annotation of a RefSeq genome assembly